Molecule: ribosomal RNA, 2553 nt
Filed under: human gut metagenome
Description: bacterial LSU rRNA
Rfam family: Bacterial large subunit ribosomal RNA
Source: RNAcentral
AGGGCGUAUGGUGGAUGCCUUGGCAGACAGUACCGAUGAAGGACGUUUGAGGCUGCGAUAUGCCUCGGGGAGCCGCCAGCAGGGCUUUGAUCCGAGGAUUUCCGAAUGGGGGAACCCGCCGGCCGUCAUGGGCCGGCACCGCGUUCGCGCGGGGGGUACGCAGGGAAGUGAAACAUCUCAGUACCUGCAGGAAAGGAUGUUCCGUGAGUAGUGGCGAGCGAAAGCGGAUCAGGCCAAACCGCGCGCGUGUGACAGGCGCCAGCCGUUGCGCGCGUGGUGUUGAGGGAGCGUGUGUCCGGGUCCUGGCGGGCCCGGCCGGAGUGAUAAAACGGCGUGUGAGGCGAACCGGAUUGAAUGCCGGGCCGCAGAGGGUGAUGGCCCCGUAGCCGAACGCGCGUCGUCUCCGGAUCGUGUCUCCCAAGUAGCGCGGGACUCGUGGAAUCCCGUGUGAAUCCGCCCCGACCGUGGGGUAAGCCUAGAUAUACCUGUCUGACCGAUAGCGAACUAGUACCGUGAGGGAAAGGUGAAAAGCACCCCGGGAGGGGAGUGAAACAGUCUCUGAAACCGUGCGCUUACAAACCGUCGGAGCCUUUCGGGGUGACGGCGUGCCUAUCGAAAAAUGAGUCUGCGAGUCAGUGGCACGUGGCGAGCGUAACCCGUGUGGGGUACGCGUAGCGAAGGCGAGUCUCAAAAGGCGUUUGAGUCGCGUGUCCUGGACCCGAAGCGGGAUGAUCUAGCCCUGAGCAGGUUGAAGCGCGGGUAAGACCGCGUGGAGGACCGAACCCACCUGGGUUGAAAACCGGGGGGAUGACUUGGGGUUAGGGGUGAAAGGCCAAUCAAAUUCCGUGAUAGCUGGUUCUCUCCGAAAUGCAUUUAGGUGCAGCGUCGGGGAUUACGUCCGGGGGGUAGAGCUACUGGAUGCUUGAGGGCCCGUAUCGGGUACCGACAGCAGCCAAACUCCGAAUACCCGUGACGCGUAUCCCGGCAGUGAGUCGGCGGGGGAUAAGCUCCGUCGUCGAAAGGGAGACAGCCCAGAUCGUCGUCUAAGGUCCCCAAGCGCGUGCUAAGUGGGAAAGGAUGUGGAGUCGCAUAGACAGCCAGGAGGUUGGCUCAGAAGCAGCCACCCUUGAAAGAGUGCGUAACAGCUCACUGGUCUAGUGGUUCCGCGCCGACAAUGUAGCGGGGCUCAAGCACGCCACCGAAGACGCGGCAGCGUCCGUUUGGAUGCUGGGUAGGAGAGCGUCCCCAUCGGGGCGAAGCGGCGGCGCAAGCCUGCCGUGGACCGUUGGGGAGUGAGAAUGCAGACAUGAGUAGCGAGAGGCGGGUGCGAAUCCCGCCCGCUGGAUGACCAAGGGUUCCGGGGCCACGUUCGUCGUCCCCGGGUGAGUCGGGUCCUAAGGCGAGGCCGACAGGCGUAGUCGAAUGGAUGAACGGGCUGAUAUUCCCGUACCGGCAGCGAACCGAAACAACCGAGGCCUGGGGCGCUAACCUCCGGGUCCGUGCCGUCUCCCCUUUCGGGGGGUCGCGGCGCGGGCGCGUUGGGAUCCCCCUCGUAGUAGGUCAGCGCAGGAGUGACGCAUCAGGGCAGCCGGCCGCGGAGGUGGUUUUCCGUGGUCAAGCGUUCGAGCCCGUCCCGCAGGCAAAUCCGCGGGGCGUCGGGGCGAGGCGUGAUGAUGGGGGCCUUACGGCCCGAAUCCGGUGAUCCGUGGUGCCGAGAAAAGCUUCGGCGUCAGGCGCGUUGCCGCCCGUACCCCAAACCGACACUGGUGGUCAGGUAGAGAAUACCAAAGCGAUCGAGCGAAUCCUGGUCAAGGAACUCGGCAAAUUGCUCCCGUGCCUUCGGCAUAAGGGAGACCCCCUGCGGUGAUGAGCGGCGGGGGGUGGCACAGGCCAGGGGGUAGCGACUGUUUACCAAAAACACAGGAGCGUGCGAAGGCGCAAGCCGCUGUAUACGCUCUGACGCCUGCCCGGUGCCGGAAGGUUAAGAGGAUCCGUCAGCUUUCUGCGAAGCGGUGAAUUCAAGCCCCGGUAAACGGCGGUGGUAACUAUAACCAUCCUAAGGUAGCGAAAUUCCUUGUCGGGUAAGUUCCGACCUGCACGAAUGGCGUAACGACUUCCCCACUGUCUCGACCAGGAGCUCGGCGAAAUUGCAGUACGAGUAAAGAUGCUCGUUAAGCGCAGAAGGACGAGAAGACCCCGGGACCUUUACUAUACCUUGGUAUUGGCAUUAGGCGCGGAUUGUGUAGCAUAGGCGGGAGGCUUCGAGGCGGGUGCGCCAGCAUCCGCGGAGCCGCAAGGUGAAAUACCGCUCUGUUCUCGUUUGAUGUCUAACCUCGAACAGUCAUCCUGUUCAGGGACAGUGCCUGGCGGGUAGUUCAACUGGGGCGGUUGCCUCCCAAAGAGUAACGGAGGCGCUCAAAGGUCCGCUCGGCCCGGUUGGCAAUCGGGUGUCGAGUGUAAUCGCACAAGCGGGCUUGACUGCGAGAUCGACGGAUCGAGCAGGGACGAAAGUCGGAGAUAGUGAUCCGGUGCCGGCGCACGGGCGCGGCAUCG